Molecule: small nuclear RNA, 181 nt
Organism: Rattus norvegicus (Norway rat)
Lineage: Eukaryota; Metazoa; Chordata; Mammalia; Rodentia; Muridae
Product: U2 spliceosomal RNA
Source: Ensembl
AUCUCUCGGCCUUUUGGCUAAGAUCAGGUGUCUAUCUAUUCUUACCAGUUUAAUAUUUGAUGUGCCCUCUAUCUGAGGACAAUAGAGCAAACAGAUUGGGGAUCUGGAAGAUGGGAUCGGAGCUUGCACCAUAUAUUCCAUGAGCUGAGGUUACAACAUCUCUGGUGUUGGUACACCCCUU